Long non-coding RNA from Neomonachus schauinslandi (Hawaiian monk seal), 1996 nucleotides. RefSeq lists it as uncharacterized. The record is from RefSeq and is a predicted model, not a curated record. The transcript has 3 exons. Lineage: Eukaryota; Metazoa; Chordata; Mammalia; Carnivora; Phocidae.
CUCAUGGGUCAUUAGUUCCCAACUCCUGGUCUAGAUGACUCGCUUUAGUCAGGGGUCUUCAGAGAAACAGAACCGAUUGGAUAUAUAUGUAGGAAGAGAUCUUUUCUAGGGAAUUGGCUCACAUGAUCAUGGAGGCUGUGAUGUCCCACCAUCUGCUGUCUGCAAGCUGGAGGACCUCCCAACUUGGCUGCCCGGACAAGAAGACGGGAAGCGAAUGCUCCAUGUCCCAGGAUUCUUGGCAUCUGGGAUCCUCACCUGAGCCAGAUUCUUCCAGCACACCAUAGAAAUUCCACCUGAGUUUCCAGCAUGCUGCCUGUGGACUUUGGACUGAAGCCUUCAACAUCAACUCUUAGCUCAAUUUCCAGCCUGCUGGCCUGCCCUGUGGAUUUUGGACUUGCUGGCCCUCAAAAUCAUGGCAACUGUGCAGAAAUACGUAUGUACAGACAUGCAACGGCCUUCACCACCCAAACCACUGGCCUCACUGCACAAUUAUUCCUUGGGGUCUGCCGUCAUCCUAGAAUAUAUAGAACGGAGGACUCACCCAAUUUACUAUUUUAGAAAUAUUCUCUAAAUGUGAACAAGUGUCUCACAGCUCACAAAAUCCCAUCAUCUUUCCCAGGGUCCCGCCACUGGCAGACGUCACUUCCCUGGGCCCCCCUCCUAGGUACAGUGGGCAGAGGGCUCCCCAUAAUGAAAUGCAGUGAUGUCUACUGGCAGUCGCCCAACCAGGCUGGAACCAUUUGGAGAGGAAAUCCACAUGAGUCCUUCUAAAUGGCUUGGGGUCUGCAGAAAAGGAAGUUUGACCAGAGGGUGGCAGGACCCUCCCGGUAUCUUGUCAUGGGGUCAUGGUCAACACCCAAGCCAUCGGAUGACAUCUGCAUUGUGCAUCAACAUAGCUGGAGGCCUGUACCUUCGAUGUCCCUCUAACGAAAGCCCCUACCUGUGUCUGGGUUGGAGAUGAAUAAGGACAACCCAAUGUUGAACUUAGUGGCCAACGUCUGGAGCCGGACAUUGCUGUCUUUGUGAAAAGAGCUUCAUUACCACUGGUCCAUGUGGCCUCCUUGACCACGUUGUUCUGGCCAUCAUGGCACCCAGCUUGUCCUCUGAGAGCAAAUGGGCUCCAAUGAGAACAGGGAACCUCCAUUGCUGAUGAUGAUGGUCCACAUGUUGAGUGGGAAGGUUCUAGAGAUGUAUUAUCUAACAUGAUAGCAACCUGACCCCUGUGGCUAAUGAAAUUGAAAUUGAAAUUAUUUAAAAUAAAAUAAAAUUUACAAGUCACUUCUUUGGUCAAAUGAGCCACAUUUGCAGUGCUCAGCAGCCACCCUAUUGUACCUCAUUGCUUGGAACAUUUUCCCAUAACUGCACAGAAUUCUGUAGAACUGACCAUGCUGGUCUAGACACUGGAUAUUUCUAAGAAUUAUCCAAUUACAAAGACAUUAAAGUAUUUUCAAUUUCUGGAAUUCUUCUGAUUAUAAGUUUCUAAGGCACGUGGAUGACACCCACAUAAAAUACAUCUGGCAACAUUCUCUUCAUUACCAGGACACAAAUCUAUCUACCUCAAAACUUGCGGCUCACUAGAUAAUGUAAAAAGUCCUGCUAUGAAAGAAAGCCAGAUUCUGAAGAAUCCCUAAAAUCGCCCUGUUUCUAAAUAGGUAUGCAUAGUCAUAUUAUCCGUAUGUAGUGUAGUUAUGGAAGUCUACGACUCUGUAUAAACACGUAUCUGCAUAUACUUACGUUCCAUCACUACCAUGUUAUCACCUCUAGAAGAACAAAAGACAAGACUUGGGCUUCUCAGAGGAGGAACCAGCAAAAACCAUCAAGAAGCAAAAAACGUUGACCAGUCGUGUUUGAAAAUGAGACAUGAGAGCUGUGCCCAACACCGUUGAGAUGCACAAGAUUGCCCGAAGUAAGAAGGCUGGCUCUUGGGCACUUGGGGGGCUCAGUGGGCUAAGCGUCUGCCUUUGGCUCAGGUCAUGAUCCCAGAGUCCUGGGAUCG